CCUACGGGUGGCAGCAGUGGGGAAUAUUGCUCAAUGGGCGAAACUCUGAUGCAGCGACGCCGCGUGAGUGAAGAAGUAAUUCGUUAUGUAAAGCUCUAUCAGCAGGGAAGAAAAAGACGGUACCUGAGCAAGAAGCCCCGGCUAACUACGUGCCAGCAGCCGCGGUAAUACGGAGGGGGCAAGCGUUAUCCGGAUUUACUGGGUGUAAAGGGAGCGUAGACGGCAGUGCAAGUCUGGAGUGAAAGGCGGGGGCUCAACCCCCGGACUGCAGUGGAAACUGUACGGCUGGAGUGCAGGAGAGGUAAGUGGAAUUCCUAGUGUAGCGGUGAAAUGCGUAGAUAUCAGGAAGAACACCAGUGGCGAAGGCGGCUUACUGAACUGUAACUGACGUUGAGGCUCGAAAGCGUGGGGAGCAAACAGGAUUAGAUACCCUUGUAGUC
Molecule: ribosomal RNA, 440 nt
Filed under: uncultured bacterium
Lineage: Bacteria
Description: partial 16S ribosomal RNA
Rfam family: Bacterial small subunit ribosomal RNA
Source: RNAcentral